UUAAGCUAAUAAGAGCACACGGAGGAUGCCUAGGCGCCAGGAGCCGACGAAGGACGUGGCGAACAACGAAACUGCCUCGGGGAGCUGUAAGCAAGCUUUGAUCCGGGGGUGUCCGAAUGGGGAAACCCAGCUGUGGUAAUUCGCAGUUACUCACACCUGAAUACAUAGGGUGUGUAGAGGCAGACCAGGGGAACUGAAACAUCUAAGUACCCUGAGGAAGAGAAAACAAUAGUGAUUCCGUCAGUAGCGGCGAGCGAACGCGGAACAGCCUAAACCAAGGGGCUUGCCCCUUGGGGUUGUGGGACGUCUCACAUGGAGUUACAAAGGAAUAUGGUAGGUGAAGAGGUCUGGAAAGGCCCGCGAUAGAGGUAAAAGCCCUGUAACCUAAACUGUGUUCUCUCCGAGACGGAUCCCGAGUAGUGCGGGGCACGUGAAACCCCGUAUGAAUCCAGCAGGACCAUCUGCUAAGGCUAAAUACUACCUGGCGACCGAUAGUGAAACAGUACCGUGAGGGAAAGGUGAAAAGCACCCCGGAAGGGGAGUGAAAUAGAACCUGAAACCGUGUGCUUACAAAAAGUCAGAGCCCGAUCUAGGGGUGAUGGCGUGCCUUUUGUAGAAUGAACCGGCGAGUUACGUUUAACAUGCAAGGUUAAGGUGAGAAGCCGGAGCCGCAGCGAAAGCGAGUCUGAAUAGGGCGAUUGAGUAUGUGGACGUAGACCCGAAACCGUGUGAUCUACCCCUGUCCAGGGUGAAGGUGCGGUAACACGCACUGGAGGCCCGAACCCACGUAUGUUGAAAAAUACGGGGAUGAGGUGGGGGUAGCGGAGAAAUUCCAAUCGAACUCGGAGAUAGCUGGUUCUCCCCGAAAUAGCUUUAGGGCUAGCCUCGGUGAAUGGAGUGGUGGAGGUAGAGCACUGAUUGGGUGCGGGGCCCGCAAGGGUUACCAAGCUCAGUCAAACUCCGAAUGCCAUUUACUUCUUGCCGGGAGUCAGACAGUGAGUGCUAAGAUCCAUUGUCAAAAGGGAAACAGCCCAGACCAUCAGCUAAGGUCCCCAAGUGUGUGUUAAGUGGGAAAGGAUGUGGAGUUGCACAGACAACCAGGAUGUUGGCUUAGAAGCAGCCACCAUUGAAAGAGUGCGUAAUAGCUCACUGGUCGAGUGACUCUGCGCCGAAAAUGUAACGGGGCUAAACACACCACCGAAGCUAUGGCUAGAUGCUUUGCAUCUGGGGUAGGGGAGCGUUGUAUGUGGGUUGAAGGUGUACCGUAAGGAGCGCUGGACAGCAUACAAGUGAGAAUGCCGGUAUGAGUAACGAAAAGAUCAGUGAGAAUCUGAUCCGCCGAAAGCCCAAGGUUUCCUGAGGAAGGCUCGUCCGCUCAGGGUAAGUCGGGACCUAAGGCGAGGCCGAAAGGCGUAGUCGAAGGACAACAGUUUGAAAUUACUGUACCACCGUAAUCCGCUAUGAGCGAUGGGGUGACGCAGGAGGGUAGUGACGCGGACUGAUGGAUGUCCGUCUAAGCAGUGAGGCUGGUGUGUAGGCAAAUCCGCACAUCGUAAGGCUGGGCUGUGAUGGGGAGCGAAAAUUAUAGUAGCGAAGGUCAUGAUCUCACACUGCCAAGAAAAGCCUCUAGNNNNNNNNNNNNNNNNNNNNNNNNNNNNNNNNNNNNNNNNNNNNNNNNNNNNNNNNNNNNNNNNNNNNNNNNNNNNNNNNNNNNNNNNNNNNNNNNNNNNCAGGAGAAGGUGCCCGUACCGCAAACCGACACAGGUAGGCGAGAAGAGAAUUCUAAGGCGCGCGGAAGAACUCUCGUUAAGGAACUCGGCAAAAUGACCCCGUAACUUCGGGAGAAGGGGUGCCUCGGUAGGGUGAAUAGCCCGAGGGGGCCGCAGUGAAAAGGCCCAAGCGACUGUUUAGCAAAAACACAGGUCUGUGCGAAGCCGCAAGGCGAAGUAUACGGGCUGACGCCUGCCCGGUGCUGGAAGGUUAAGGGGAGUGGUUAGGAGCAAUCCGAAGCUAUGAACCGAAGCCCCAGUAAACGGCGGCCGUAACUAUAACGGUCCUAAGGUAGCGAAAUUCCUUGUCAGGUAAAUUCUGACCCGCACGAAUGGCGUAACGACUUGGGCGCUGUCUCAACGAGAGAUCCGGUGAAAUUUUAAUACCUGUGAAGAUGCAGGUUACCCGCGACAAGACGGAAAGACCCCAUGGAGCUUUACUGCAGCUUGAUAUUGAAUUUGGGUACGAUCUGUACAGGAUAGGUGGGAGCCGUAGAGGCAGGAGCGCAAGCUUCUGCGGAGGCGCCGUUGGGAUACCACCCUGAUCGUAUCUAGGUUCUAACCUAGUACCCUAAGCGGGUACGGGGACCGUGUCAGGCGGGCAGUUUGACUGGGGCGGUCGCCUCCUAAAGAGUAACGGAGGCGUUCAAAGGUUCCCUCAGAAUGGUUGGAAAUCAUUCGAAGAGUGCAAAGGCAUAAGGGAGCUUGACUGCGAGACCUACAAGUCGAGCAGGGACGAAAGUCGGACUUAGUGAUCCGGUGGUACCGCAUGGAAGGGCCAUCGCUCAACGGAUAAAAGCUACCCUGGGGAUAACAGGCUUAUCUCCCCCAAGAGUCCACAUCGACGGGGAGGUUUGGCACCUCGAUGUCGGCUCAUCGCAUCCUGGGGCUGAAGUAGGUCCCAAGGGUUGGGCUGUUCGCCCAUUAAAGCGGUACGCGAGCUGGGUUCAGAACGUCGUGAGACAGUUCGGUCCCUAUCUGUCGUGGGCGCAGGAAAUUUGAGAGGAGCUGUCCUUAGUACGAGAGGACCGGGAUGGACGUACCGCUGGUGCACCAGUUGUUUCGCCAGAAGCAUGGCUGGGUAGCUACGUACGGACGGGAUAAGCGCUGAAAGCAUCUAAGCGUGAAGCCCCCCUCAAGAUGAGAUUUCCC
This 2921-nucleotide ribosomal RNA is filed under the name Paenibacillus auburnensis. RNAcentral's name for it is "Paenibacillus sp. JJ-7 23S ribosomal RNA". It matches the Rfam family "Bacterial large subunit ribosomal RNA". The record is from RNAcentral. Lineage: Bacteria; Bacillati; Bacillota; Bacilli; Caryophanales; Paenibacillaceae.